GACGAACGCUGGCGGCGUGCUUAACACAUGCAAGUCGAACGUGAUUUUUGUGGAAAGCCCUUCGGGGACGGAAAUGAAAUGAAAGUGGCGAACGGGUGAGUAACACGUGAGCAACCUACCUUACACAGGGGGAUAGCCGUUGGAAACGACGAUUAAUACCGCAUGAGACCACAAAGCCACAUGGCUUAGGGGUAAAAGAUUUAUCGGUGUAAGAUGGGCUCGCGUCUGAUUAGCUAGUUGGAAGGGUAAAGGCCUACCAAGGCAACGAUCAGUAGCCGGUCUGAGAGGAUGAACGGCCACAUUGGAACUGAGACACGGUCCAAACUCCUACGGGAGGCAGCAGUGGGGAAUAUUGCACAAUGGGGGGAACCCUGAUGCAGCGACGCCGCGUGAGCGAAGAAGGUUUUCGAAUCGUAAAGCUCUGUCCUAUGAGAAGAUAAUGACGGUAUCAUAGGAGGAAGCCCCGGCUAAAUACGUGCCAGCAGCCGCGGUAAUACGUAUGGGGCGAGCGUUGUCCGGAAUUAUUGGGCGUAAAGGGUACGUAGGCGGCCUUUUAAGUCAGGUGUGAAAGCGUGAGGCUUAACCUCAUUAAGCACUUGAAACUGGAAGGCUUGAGUGAAGGAGAGGAAAGUGGAAUUCCUAGUGUAGCGGUGAAAUGCGUAGAUAUUGGGAGGAAUACCGGUGGCGAAGGCGACUUUCUGGACUUUUACUGACGCUCAGGUACGAAAGCGUGGGGAGCAAACAGG
RNAcentral lists this ribosomal RNA (746 nucleotides) under uncultured Parvimonas sp. Its description in RNAcentral is "bacterial SSU rRNA". It matches the Rfam family "Bacterial small subunit ribosomal RNA", at positions 28 to 776 of the family's 1533-position model. Lineage: Bacteria; Bacillati; Bacillota; Tissierellia; Tissierellales; Peptoniphilaceae. The record is from RNAcentral.